Molecule: non-coding RNA, 62 nt
Organism: Picea glauca (white spruce)
Lineage: Eukaryota; Viridiplantae; Streptophyta; Pinopsida; Pinales; Pinaceae
Source: Rfam
GUGUUACACUUGAUCGCUAAAUUCAGGUAGGCUUUCUGUUGAAAACAUUAUUUGUUGAUGCC